UUCCGUUUGGAACCUAUUCUUUCAGCAUAGGGACCAACCCAAUCAAAGUAAACCCUUCUUUUGAACUCUUUCUUCGACCCUAGCUUUAGCGUUGUUUAGUUCUCUAUGGGGAGAUUAUCCUUUGGUACAGGAAGUAUUGUACACGUUCCUUGACCAUAUUUGAUACCACAUAUCCUCGGAGGAUUCCACAACUAAGGAGGAGAAUAUAUUUAGGAGGAGAAUAUAUGAAAGGGGGAAGAAAAAGUAAGUUAGCUUUCUUCUGCUGUCUACAACUAAGGGGGAUUAAACUACUCUUUAGCUGUGUACUACUGAGGGGGAGAUUCUUCUUUCAACUAAGGAGGAGGAUUGAUCUUUCAUCUAAAGGGAGAUAGCUACUUAUCACCAAGGGGAACCUGAUCAAGGUAACGGGAGGAGAUGUAUUUAUUCUUCAGUAAGUGGUAGACAGGAACUUAUUCAUUACCACUGGAGAAUUCAAUGAAGCUGCUGAUUAUUCUUUGCAUAAUGGAAUGUUUUGAAUUCUCUUCAAGACAGACUAUGAGGAUUAUCUGGCAGGUAAGCAAGAACCAGAGAAAUAAAAGUGAUAUGCACAUUUGUUAUUUCUAUUCAUGAAAUCUGGAAAUGUAUUAUAUGAUCCAGAAACUUUGUAGCAUUAUUUACUAGUCCAGGACUUUACUUUUUCUAGUGUUA
RNAcentral lists this long non-coding RNA (687 nucleotides) under Daucus carota (carrot). Its description in RNAcentral is "long non-coding RNA (DCAR_LNC007565)". Lineage: Eukaryota; Viridiplantae; Streptophyta; Magnoliopsida; Apiales; Apiaceae. The record is from RNAcentral.